RNAcentral lists this ribosomal RNA (484 nucleotides) under uncultured bacterium. RNAcentral's name for it is "partial 16S ribosomal RNA". It matches the Rfam family "Bacterial small subunit ribosomal RNA", at positions 30 to 507 of the family's 1533-position model. The record is from RNAcentral.
AUUGAACGCUGGCGGCAGGCCUAACACAUGCAAGUCGAGCGGAUGAAGGGAGCUUGCUCCUGGAUUCAGCGGCGGACGGGUGAGUAAUGCCUAGGAAUCUGCCUGGUAGUGGGGGAUAACGUCCGGAAACGGGCGCUAAUACCGCAUACGACCUGAGGGAGAAAGUGGGGGAUCUUCGGACCUCACGCUAUCAGAUGAGCCUAGGUCGGAUUAGUUAGUUGGUGGGGUAAAGGCCUACCAAGGCGACGAUCCGUAACUGGUCUGAGAGAAUGAUCAGUCACACUGGAACUGAGACACGGUCCAGACUCCUACGGGAGGCAGCAGUGGGGAAUAUUGGACAAUGGGCGAAAGCCUGAUCCAGCCAUGCCGCGUGUGUGAAGAAGGCCUUCGGAUUGUAAAGCACUUUAAGUUGGGAGGAAGGGCAGUAAGUUAAUACCUUGCUGUUUUGACGUUACCAACAGAAUAAGCACCGGCUAACUUCGUG